AGAGUUUGAUCCUGGCUCAGGAUGAACGCUAGCGGCAGGCUUAAUACAUGCAAGUCGAACGGUAAGUUGAGUAGCAAUACUUGACCUAGAGUGACGUACGGGUGCGUAACACGUAUGCAACCUACCCAUAACAGGAGGAUAGCUCCCCGAAAGGGGAAUUAACCCUCCAUAGUAUAAUUGAAUGGCAUCAUUUGAUUAUUAAAACUGCGGUGGUUAUGGAUGGGCAUGCGUCUGAUUAGUUAGUUGGCGGUGUAACGGACCACCAAGACGAUGAUCAGUAGGGGAACUGAGAGGUUGAUCCCCCACACUGGCACUGAGAUACGGGCCAGACUCCUACGGGAGGCAGCAGUAGGGAAUAUUGGUCAAUGGGUGAGAGCCUGAACCAGCCAUGCCGCGUGCAGGAAGACGGCCCUAUGGGUUGUAAACUGCUUUUACCAGGGGAUAAAACGGUCUUGCGAGACUAAUUGAAGGUACCUGGUGAAUAAGCCACGGCUAACUACGUGCCAGCAGCCGCGGUAAUAC
Molecule: ribosomal RNA, 522 nt
Filed under: uncultured bacterium
Lineage: Bacteria
Description: bacterial SSU rRNA
Rfam family: Bacterial small subunit ribosomal RNA
Source: RNAcentral